UACGUGUGAACAACAUCGUUGUACAGAAGCUACAUUACCCGGGCUGAGCGUGACAGCAGAACCGAACCAGACGAAACGAACACGGCUUGGAAAUGCUGUUUCCUGUUAUUAAUUAAUUAAUAUAAAACUCGGCCCGCUCCUAGGGCAUGAUCCUGGAUGCGAUAAAGCUUCGACGAGCUCCUGCGGUGACCCUUCUAGGAGCGUGCAAAAGGAUAGACCUGUCAGAGUGUGUUCCAAGUAUCAUUGUGCUAGGGUGUGAUUCCCAUGUGGUUGAAAGGGACUCUAUCGUGAUUUGAGAUCGUUGAUUUUCCUGACAAUUUAUUGUGUACAAUAGAACUAAUUGCGUCACCAAAAGCGAACGUCAAUGCAUGUUUGUGUGUUUGGUGAAAUCGGUAGCAAUGGUGCAACAACGUUUCUUGUUAGCUGAGAGACACGUUUGAAAUUGGUAUCGGCUCUAUUAUCGUCAGGUUUUACCUAUUAUCUUCCGGUGGGUUGAUGAAGUCAUGGAUAGCUAAUAUUUUGCAGAGAGAUACUCUGCAUUAUGAAGAACCAUCAUACAGAAAUAACCGAUUUUGGACAUCAAUUAACGAUAGCAUGGGACGCGCUAUUUGUAGGUAUCAGGCCGAUAAUCCAAUUUUAUUGAAAUGAAAUGAUUAUAAAAUAACUAGUUUUCUGCAUUUCUCAAGUUCUCAAGUUUCUCAUUAAUUUUUGCAUUCAUAUUACCAAAGCUUUGAAAUUUUGAAUUCUUCGAACGUUGUGUUAAAUCUUCCAUGUUUUACGAAAACAACACAAGUAAUUUUUGAUUCCGAUAUACAGGGUGUUACCGUGGAGUGAUACCCACAUUUGAGUGCCUCCCGAUGUAAACUCAGCACUACCCUGUUAACCAGCUGUGUUUGUUUUGAUUGCGACACAUGUUUGUAGUUCACUUGUGAGAGAUAAAGCCAGUGUUUCACUUAUUUCAGAGAAAAAUUACAAUGGACUCAAGUAGAGAACAAAUCAAGAUCUUGUACAUUACUGGAAUAAGUGACAACAGAAGAAACCUGUCGCAUUUGAAUUUUAGCGGAUUAUUUGUGUACGGGACCAUCGAACAAUUCGAGAAAACUCCCGACACAGAAACCGGGUAAAGAAACUGAGUGUGCGGAAUGCAGCGAUGCUCAAAGCAAUUAACGAACGUAUUCGGUGAAAUCGCAGACAGACGUCCAAGCUGAGUUCGAAACUUGUGUAAAGUUUUUUGUAGUAGCAAUCCGUAACCAGAUAGCGCUACCAGUAUCGCCAGCCUCGUGCACCAGCGAAAAAAAAUGUAUUGUAGCGAUAAGGUCACCAGGCGGCGCUAGUGUACAAGUGAUUUAUAACGCAAUUUACUUUGAAAAUUUACACGGAACUUUUGAUCAAUGUUGUUCUUGCUUGGACGUCUGUCUGUGGUGAAAUCUAGCCCGGUCGGUAGGAGAAAUGGUCAUAACACGAUGCAUAAAAUCAUCAAAUGGAUCUUGAAUACGGAGCACUCAAAAAACAGAAAAAUCACGGAUUAUCCCACAAAAUUAUUGUCGACAGUGUUACAAGACCUCAAUUGCUACUGAAGACGCACAUGGCUCACAACAUAAUUUUCAGAUGAAAAAAUUUUUACUUUGGAGGCUGUUUUGAAAAAGCAGAACGAUCGUGUACAUGGAGCAUGUUUUGCUUUCAACAGGAUUCAGCGUGAGCGCUAAGGCAUUGGUUGUUCAGAAGUUGUGCAAAAAAAAAAAUUACCGUGUUUUAUCAGUACCUCUGAAUGGCCCGCAUAUUUUACCGGUUCGAAUACAAUGGACUUCAUCAUUCGAGGAUACCGAGGAUAGGAACCGUGAAAAUCUGGGAUGAAGUGCAGUUUGAAGUCGUGCGUGCGGCUUGUGAUAAUUUAAAAAAGCGUUUGCGGACAGUAAUCAAAUACAAAGGCGAAAAAAUUGAACAAAACUAAUCCUUUUGUAACGUUACUACUCUAUCAUGUUAAUCAAAAAGAAUUAGAGAUGAAAUAUUAUUCUCUUUUAAUUUUAUGGCAAAAACGAAGUGUAUCACUUUGACGGUGACACCGGCGACAUUAUUGAUGGUUUUUAUUCAGUUUUUUUCAUUUUUCAUUUUUCACUCACAAAUAAUAAAUUUUAUUGUCUUGUUUCCUGCAAAAUUUCGUUUAAAAGGUUUCUAUUAGGAAAAUAAUGCUGUAAUUAGUCGAAAUUACUUUAAUUCACUUUGUUGGCUAACGGACCGUUCACCGGUCUAGGGCCGAACGAAUUAAUAUCUAGUUUCUUCUGUAUUGGGUUCUCAGGUAUCCUCGUAAACCAGCAUCUUCUUCCACCGCGCAUAUCCACCUCGUGCGAGGCCUACCACGGAGUCGACGGCCUCUUCCUGGUUCUCUACUGGAGAUAGUUUUGGCGGCUCUCUCGUUAGGCAUUCUGGCUACAUGACCAGCUCACUGAAGUCUGCCCCGCUGUAUUACCCUCACUAUAUCCGCAUGUUUGUAUACCUGGUACAACUCGUGAUUCAUGCGUCUGCGCCACACUCCAUCUUCCAAUUUACCACCAAGUAUCGAUCGCAGAACUUUACGCUCAAAGACUCUAAGCACUCAUCGAUCAGCUUCCUUCAGCCUCCAUGCUUCAUGUCCGUGAAGGGCCACCGAGAGUAUCAGCGUCCUAUACAGCGCUAGUUUUGUGCGAGUUUGCAAACUACGGGACCUUAGCUGGUUACGUAGUCUGUAGAACACCCUGUAUGCAGCUGCAACUCAUCGUUUCACUUCGCGGCUCAUAUCGUUGUCACAUAUCACAAGCGUACCAAGGUAAACGAAUUCAUCAGCCACUUCAAAUCGUUCCCCAUCUAUGUCCACCUCAGCACAAAAACCACGGGCACUCCCUGCCUUGCUACUUGUUUUGGCAAAGCUAAUGACAAGUCCCAAUCUCGCUACUUUCUUCCCAAAAGACACGAAGACCUCCUCCAUGGCCCACGGCCUGAUAUCGUCCACAAAACCAAACCAGUGAGAUUUCGUGAUGAUCGUACCAUUUCUUUGCACGUUUGCUCUUCGCAUUGCACCUUCAAGAGCUAUGUUGAACAGUAAGUUAGAGACCGCAUUCCGGUGGAACAGUAUACGGGAGAGCACUUUAUAUGCGGAGUUGAGCAACGUAACGCCUCGAUAGUUGCAACAAUCCAAUCGAUGACCCUUCUUAUAGAUAGGACAUAUGAUGCCUUCCAACCUGACGUUCGGCAUUUGUUCAUCCGCCCAGAUCCUAUGUGUUAUCUGGUGGAUCGCAUAGAACAGCCGCUCGCUUCCCGCUUUUAGAAGUUCGGCCGGGAAACCGUUCUUCCCAGCGGCUUUGCUUUUUUUCAGCUCACCGCCUUCUUCGUCUCUUCAUCUCCUCCUGUGUUGGUGGCUCCACAGCUUGUUCGUCACUCAUAAUCGUCAUCCUGUUCCUUCUCUGCUCAUCCUGCUCCUCACCAUUCAAUAGCGCCUGAAAAUGCUCCUUCCACCUGGCUGCAACCGUCGGUUUAUCAGUAAGCAGGUUCCCGUCCUCGUCAAUACACAUGACCGGCACAGGGAAAUUGCUGCUUCUGACUCUGUUGACUGUUCUAUAGAAGCUCCGCAUGUAGUUUCUAGCUUAGCUGUCCCCUGCGCUUGCGAGCUCCUGUCCAAUCCGCACGAGAGUCACAAAUGAAAGAAGGCUUUGGUCUCAAUAUUGUCCCCCAAACGUUUUUGAAAAAAUGGGGCAACAGUUUUUGUAAUAGAGUAACUAUUACUUUUUAUAGAAAAACUUGGGUGGAUUUUCUCACAAAAGUCACUAAAGUUUUCAUUUUGUCUCUGUGACAAUUGAAUUAGAAUUUACAAGUUUUUCUCUGAAAAAUCACAGACCAAAUUACUUUACUUUUGAAGCAAGGGUAUUUAUUUCAUUUAGUAGUCACGGUGAUAAUUUGAAAAACAAAAGACAUGUUGUCCAAAGAAAUAGUUUUUCCUGUUAGUCACUGUGAUUUUCGAGAGGAAAUAUACAACAACAGUUUUGUUUAAAAGAAGGUGUGACCUUUUGAAAAACUUAUAAGUUAUCAGCAUUGUCACAGUGAUUUUGGUAAUCAUCUCUUUUGGUUUGAACCGAAUAUCAGGAAAAGUAAACAUCAAGCUUUGAUCGACAAAUAUCACUGUUUGAUCACCGUGACUUUUAUCAGGAAAUAUAUGUCAAAUGUUGUUUUAGAAUAUGUGAUCUUUAAAAAAAUAUAUCUUAUUAACAUUGUCACAUGAAUUUAUGUAAUUAUCUCUUUUCGAUCAAAUAACGGAGAAAACAUUACUUCAAUAUCACAUAUUCCCUCCAUCCAACGUUCGAUUAGUAUUGGCUCACAAGAGUCUCCGUAUCAAUUAAUCUUUAUUCAAUAAGCUAUGAUCAUUAUGGAAAAAAAUGAAUCUCGUUUUUCAACGGUCACCAAAAAUAAUUGGUGACGAAUUCCUAUAGUUUUUUAAUUCAUCAAGAUGGAGGUGUUAAUUACUAAAAGCCGUAAAAAUAUAUAUAAUAAAAAUAGAGCAUAAUAUAAUUUAAACAUU
Wyeomyia smithii (pitcher-plant mosquito) is the source of this 4546-nucleotide long non-coding RNA. RefSeq lists it as uncharacterized. The record is from RefSeq and is a predicted model, not a curated record. NCBI's taxonomy places the organism in Eukaryota, Metazoa, Arthropoda, Insecta, Diptera, Culicidae. The transcript is spliced from 3 exons.